GCAACAUGAAGGACUUCAAUGCAGGUUUAAAAAGGGAGUCUCCACAACCAUGGGCAUGAGGAGGUGGAAAAUGAGGAAGAUCUCCUCUCAAACCUUUCCAGUUUGCCCAGAGUGCUCAUUUCCCAUCCCUUGGAAAACCUGAAGUGUGGUCUUUAGAGCCGACCAGAUGUGACAGGAUGGUCAGAGAUGCUCUGGGAGAUUUCAUGAGCUGCUCUAGGAACUCUCCAGCUGUUUCCUCCCUUUGGACUGACAGCAAACUACUGGAAAGCAUUGCCAGCAUCUCUGUGGCUCCUUCAAUCCCCAAAGAUCUUCACAAACCAGAGCUUGCCUCUAGGAAGUCAGCACAGCCCCAUGGCUGCAGGUCUGGAAAUGCCUAAAUUCAGUUUCUUGCUCUGCCAUAUUCUUUCCAUCAGACUCUGAGUAUUCAUCAUUAGUUCUCUUCAUUCCUUGUAAGUGCAAAUAUUUUGGUGGCUUUUCUUUUUUUCAGCUGUCUCAGCUUUAUCAAGAUUGAAUUUAA
RNAcentral lists this long non-coding RNA (517 nucleotides) under Ficedula albicollis (Collared flycatcher). RNAcentral describes it as "lncRNA (ENSFALG00000027755.1)". Lineage: Eukaryota; Metazoa; Chordata; Aves; Passeriformes; Muscicapidae. The record is from RNAcentral.